GAGAGAGAGACGCCGCCGCCGGUAACCCUAGCCUCCUCUUCCAUUUUCCUAAUCUCAGUUACCUAUUCAUAUUCUCAAAAUUUGGACCCUAAAGUGAAGGCAGAGGAGUUUUACAAUUCAAGAUUGGUUUGAUGUCUGUCAUUAAGGUGCGCCUACGAGUUUUGUUGAGGAUCCUACAUCAGAGGAGGCUAGGUAACUCAUAUUUCAAGUAGGCCAUUUAUACAGUUUCGAGAGAAAGUGGGCCCAGGGUAUGAAGAGUUCUCUAUAAACUUGGAGCUUACUAGAGAUUCGUCUCUCACCUCGUCUGGGGAUAUGAUUUCAAAUACGCAGUUAGCUGAUGAGCCCUCACGAGACAAGGACCCUACCCGUGGCUAGGGGUGCUAGCAUGAGGAUAUGGAGUUUUGGGUAGCGGAGGCUACUAUUUAUUAUAGAUGUUAUUUUUAGAGAGCAUGUACUGUUGUAUUUGUGCUCUAUUUAUUUGGGGAUCAUGAUGUCUGAUCCAGAGUUAUGUAUAUGGCCUGUAUAUGUGAUGUUUAAUGCAUGUACAUUUUAGUAUUAAGGCAUUAUUAUGAGAUGAGAUAUAUUCUGAUGUGUGAUUAUUGUAUGCUGUUAGAUUUAGAGGCACAGAACCUUGUAUGCAUGCGCCCAUGGAUGAGU
Molecule: long non-coding RNA, 657 nt
Organism: Gastrolobium bilobum
Lineage: Eukaryota; Viridiplantae; Streptophyta; Magnoliopsida; Fabales; Fabaceae
Exons: 4
Source: RefSeq, a predicted model, not a curated record